CCAAGGGGCAAUAGCACAGUGAAUGCACCAGUUAUUAGUUUUUAAACGAAUCACUGAGGCUAAGCAACGGUGUGCGCGGUUGGUAUCUGAAUGGGUGACCGUCUGGGAAGAGAGUGAUUCAGUGGC
This 126-nucleotide ribosomal RNA is filed under the name Diaphorina citri (Asian citrus psyllid). Lineage: Eukaryota; Metazoa; Arthropoda; Insecta; Hemiptera; Psyllidae. The record is from RNAcentral.